This 587-nucleotide ribosomal RNA is filed under the name uncultured bacterium. RNAcentral describes it as "bacterial SSU rRNA". It matches the Rfam family "Bacterial small subunit ribosomal RNA", at positions 31 to 598 of the family's 1533-position model. The record is from RNAcentral.
GAACGCUGGCGGAGGCCUAACACAUGCAAGUCGAGCGGAAACGAGUUAACUGAACCUUCGGGGAACGUUAACGGCGUCGAGCGGCGGACGGGUGAGUAAUGCCUGGGAAAUUGCCCUGAUGUGGGGGAUAACCAUUGGAAACGAUGGCUAAUACCGCAUAAUAGCUUCGGCUCAAAGAGGGGGACCUUCGGGCCUCUCGCGUCAGGAUAUGCCCAGGUGGGAUUAGCUAGUUGGUGAGGUAAUGGCUCACCAAGGCGACGAUCCCUAGCUGGUCUGAGAGGAUGAUCAGCCACACUGGAACUGAGACACGGUCCAGACUCCUACGGGAGGCAGCAGUGGGGAAUAUUGCACAAUGGGCGCAAGCCUGAUGCAGCCAUGCCGCGUGUAUGAAGAAGGCCUUCGGGUUGUAAAGUACUCUCAGCAGUGAGGAAGGCGGAGUCGUUAAUAGCGGCCUCGUUUGACGUUAGCUGCAGAAGAAGCACCGGCUAACUCCGUGCCAGCAGCCGCGGUAAUACGGAGGGUGCGAGCGUUAAUCGGAAUUACUGGGCGUAAAGCGCAUGCAGGUGGUUUGUUAAGUCAGAUGUGAA